GUUAACCAUUCCUCUCCUCUGUCCCAACAGGUGUCUGUAUAGAUGUUAACCAUUCCUCUCCUCUGUCCCAACAGGUUUCUGUAUAGAUGUUAACCAUUCCUCUCCUCUGUCCCAACAGGUGUCUGUAUAGAUGUUAACCAUUCCUCUCCUCUGUCCCAACAGGUGUCUGUAUAGAUGUUAACCAUUCCUCUCCUCUGUCCCAACAGGUGUCUGUAUAGAUGUUAACCAUUCCUCUCCUCUGUCCCAACAGGUGUCUGUAUAGAUGUUAACCAUUCCUCUCCUCUGUCCCAACAGGUGUCUGUAUAGAUGUUAACCAUUCCUCUCCUCUGUCCCAACAGGUGUCUGUAUAGAUGUUAACCAUUCCUCUCCUCUGUC
This is a long non-coding RNA of Oncorhynchus keta (chum salmon), 375 nucleotides long. RefSeq lists it as uncharacterized. Lineage: Eukaryota; Metazoa; Chordata; Actinopteri; Salmoniformes; Salmonidae. The transcript is spliced from 3 exons. The record is from RefSeq and is a predicted model, not a curated record.